This 492-nucleotide ribosomal RNA is filed under the name uncultured bacterium. Its description in RNAcentral is "partial 16S ribosomal RNA". It matches the Rfam family "Bacterial small subunit ribosomal RNA", at positions 29 to 507 of the family's 1533-position model. The record is from RNAcentral.
AGUGAACGCUGGCGGUAUGCCUAACACAUGCAAGUCGAACGGCAGCACAGUAAGAGCUUGCUCUUACGGGUGGCGAGUGGCGGACGGGUGAGGAAUACAUCUGAAUCUACUUUUUCGUGGGGGAUAACGUAGGGAAACUUACGCUAAUACCUCAUACGCCCUACGGGUGAAAGCAGGGGAUCUUCGUACCUUGCGCGAUUGAAUGAGCCGAUGUCGGAUUAGCUAGUUGGCGGGGUAGAGGCCCACCAAGGCGACGAUCCGUAGCUGGUCUGAGAGGAUGAUCAGCCACACUGGAACGGAGACACGGUCCAGACUCCUACGGGAGGAAGCAGUGGGGAAUAUUGGACAAUGGGCGCAAGCCUGAUCCAGCCAUACCGCGUGGGUGAAGAAGGCGUUCGGGUUGUAAAGCCCUUUUGUUGGGAAAGAAAAGCAGCAGGUUAAUACCCCGCUGUUCUGACGGUACCCAAAGAAUAAGCACCGGCUAACUUCGUG